AAGCUUAGCGGCGGACGGGUGAGUAACACGUAGGCAACCUACCUCUUGGACUGGGAUAACUACCGGAAACGGUAGCUAAUACCGGAUAAUUCCUUUUCUCUCCUGAGAAAAGGAUGAAAGGCGGAGCAAUCUGUCACCAGGAGAUGGGCCUGCGGCGCAUUAGCUAGUUGGUGAGGUAACGGCUCACCAAGGCGACGAUGCGUAGCCGACCUGAGAGGGUGAACGGCCACACUGGGACUGAGACACGGCCCAGACUCCUACGGGAGGCAGCAGUAGGGAAUCUUCCGCAAUGGGCGAAAGCCUGACGGAGCAACGCCGCGUGAGUGAUGAAGGUUUUCGGAUCGUAAAGCUCUGUUGCCAGGGAAGAACGUCCGGUAGAGUAACUGCUACCGGAGUGACGGUACCUGAGAAGAAAGCCCCGGCUAACUACGUGCCAGCAGCCGCGGUAAUACGUAGGGGGCAAGCGUUGUCCGGAAUUAUUGGGCGUAAAGCGCGCGCAGGCGGCUAUUUAAGUCUGGUGUUUAAACCUUGGGCUCAACCU
RNAcentral lists this ribosomal RNA (541 nucleotides) under Paenibacillus borealis. RNAcentral describes it as "bacterial SSU rRNA". It matches the Rfam family "Bacterial small subunit ribosomal RNA", at positions 88 to 615 of the family's 1533-position model. Lineage: Bacteria; Bacillati; Bacillota; Bacilli; Caryophanales; Paenibacillaceae. The record is from RNAcentral.